AGCAGUCGCCGCGGGAAUACGUAGGUCCCGAGCGUUGUCCGGAUUUAUUGGGCGUAAAGCGAGCGCAGGCGGUUAGAUAAGUCUGAAGUUAAAGGCUGUGGCUUAACCAUAGUACGCUUUGGAAACUGUUUAACUUGAGUGCAAGAGGGGAGAGUGGAAUUCCAUGUGUAGCGGUGAAAUGCGUAGAUAUAUGGAGGAACACCGGUGGCGAAAGCGGCUCUCUGGCUUGUAACUGACGCUGAGGCUCGAAAGCGUGGGGAGCGAACAGGAUUAGAUACCCCAGUAGUCCCUGUCUCUUAUACC
This 303-nucleotide ribosomal RNA is filed under the name uncultured bacterium. Its description in RNAcentral is "partial 16S ribosomal RNA". It matches the Rfam family "Bacterial small subunit ribosomal RNA", at positions 507 to 808 of the family's 1533-position model. The record is from RNAcentral.